UACGUAGGGUGCGAGCGUUGUCCGGAAUUAUUGGGCGUAAAGAGCUCGUAGGCGGUGUGUCACGUCGAUCGUGAAAACUUACAGCUUAACUGUGAGCGUGCGGUCGAUACGGGCAUCACUGGAGUUCGGCAGGGGAGACUGGAAUUCCUGGUGUAGCGGUGAAAUGCGCAGAUAUCAGGAGGAACACCGGUGGCGAAGGCGGGUCUCUGGGCCGAUAUUGACGCUGAGGAGCGAAAGCGUGGGGAGCGAACAGG
This 254-nucleotide ribosomal RNA is filed under the name uncultured bacterium. Its description in RNAcentral is "partial 16S ribosomal RNA". It matches the Rfam family "Bacterial small subunit ribosomal RNA", at positions 524 to 776 of the family's 1533-position model. The record is from RNAcentral.